This 480-nucleotide ribosomal RNA is filed under the name uncultured bacterium. RNAcentral's name for it is "bacterial SSU rRNA". It matches the Rfam family "Bacterial small subunit ribosomal RNA", at positions 28 to 526 of the family's 1533-position model. The record is from RNAcentral.
GAUGAACGCUGGCGGCGUGCUUAACACAUGCAAGUCGAACGGUGAAGCAGAGCUUGCUCUGUGGAUCAGUGGCGAACGGGUGAGUAACACGUGAGCAAUCUGCCCUUGACUCUGGGAUAAGCGCUGGAAACGGCGUCUAAUACUGGAUACGAGCUGCGAAGGCAUCUUCAGCAGCUGGAAAGAAUUUCGGUCAAGGAUGAGCUCGCGGCCUAUCAGCUUGUUGGUGAGGUAAUGGCUCACCAAGGCGUCGACGGGUAGCCGGCCUGAGAGGGUGACCGGCCACACUGGGACUGAGACACGGCCCAGACUCCUACGGGAGGCAGCAGUGGGGAAUAUUGCACAAUGGGCGCAAGCCUGAUGCAGCAACGCCGCGUGAGGGACGACGGCCUUCGGGUUGUAAAGCUCUUUUGUGCGGGAAGAUAAUGACGGUACCGCAAGAAUAAGCCCCGGCUAACUUCGUGCCAGCCGCCGCGGUAAUAC